Ictalurus punctatus (channel catfish) is the source of this 1289-nucleotide long non-coding RNA. RefSeq lists it as uncharacterized. NCBI's taxonomy places the organism in Eukaryota, Metazoa, Chordata, Actinopteri, Siluriformes, Ictaluridae. The record is from RefSeq and is a predicted model, not a curated record. The transcript has 2 exons.
UGUAAGAAUCAUAAACUUUUGUUGGUCACAGAGCUAAUUUUCUGCAUUAAUCCAAAAGCCAUUUUUGUCGAGGGAACCAGGGUGAUUGUAACUUCCGGGUUGGCCUACAAAAAGACGUCAUCCCUGUAACACUGCAGUUUAAUUUACUUGCAGGUUACUAGGUGUAACCAACAGCGCUCUCGGCAGAUUGAAAUAGCCGUUCGAUACUCCCCCUAUUUUUCGGCACGACCAUAACUCCGACCUGCCGUGACCUCUUGGCUGGAUAUGUUGACGCCUGGCAACCUUGCCUACGCAGGCCGCUGUGGAUGAUGGGAUAUGGUCCUGUUUUGUUGUUAUGACUAAGUCAUGGAUACAAGUUCCAAUUCCUCAGAUGACAAACAGAGGAAUCAAAGUAAGAAGAAUCAAAGGUGUCCUUCCUCCCAAGGAAAUGAAGCCCCAAUCACAUGGGAACUUAAUACAGAACAUAGGAGUGAUUCACUGGGAGCAGCACCUGAACUUCCCCAGUGUAAAAUGGGUAGCAAGAAGGUAGACGACAUGAGCUUCAUGAUAUCGUGUACAAACUGGUACUAGGGACAUGUGAUCUGUGAUCACUUCAGCUUAGUAACCACUAAGACACCGUGCGUCCUUGUUAUCAUUUAUGUUUAAGAUCAUUGUAUUUUUUUUUUCUUGAACUCAUGGCCACGGUGCCCUGUGAUGUCAGUGUGGCACACAACCACUAAAUCCUCACCAGUAUAACAAAAAUACAGCACUGAAACUGGACACUUGUGACCAGAUGAUGUUUUUCCAAUCUUCAACUGACCCAUUUCAGUGAGCCUGUGCCCACUGCAGCCUCAGAUUCCUGUCUGACAAGAGUGGACCCUGAUGUGGUCUUCUGCUGUUGUACCUUAUUCACCUCAAGAUUCAAUGUGUUGUGCAUUCCGAGAUGUUUAUCAGCCCACCAUGGUUGUAAACAGUGCUUAUUUGAGUUACCUGCCUGCUCCAUUGAAUUAUCUGCAUAAUUGGCUAAUGAAUGUGUGAGGUGUCCCUGUUAAAGUGACUGAGUGUUUUUAAUGUGUUUCAGAGUGCAACUUCAGAAGUUUAGGACACACAAAGCUUGUCCACUUGUCAGUGGUACAACAUAUAGCUAUAACACAAAGGCUAUAACAUAUAAAAGCUAGUCAUCGUCUCUAACUUUUCUAUUAUGCAUGCUAUUUGUUCCAGUUUAUAUUAGGCUUGAAUUGUACUGUUGCAUGCAGAGUUGCUAUAUGAUAACCAAUACAGUUUUCACCAAUAAAGUGAGUUAUAAAGGA